Triticum dicoccoides is the source of this 561-nucleotide long non-coding RNA. RefSeq lists it as uncharacterized. The record is from RefSeq and is a predicted model, not a curated record. NCBI's taxonomy places the organism in Eukaryota, Viridiplantae, Streptophyta, Magnoliopsida, Poales, Poaceae. The transcript is spliced from 2 exons.
UCAGCACUCACAUAUUGGGCCUCCAAAAGCACUGAUUGUUUAACGUAAUUCAAGUCUAUGUGCAUGGAGAAGUACACGGAACGUGUGCACCUACUAGUGCCACUCUCGAUACUUCUUCUCGUUUGCUUCGUUGCUCAUGUUCAAUGUGGGAGUAUCGAAGACAUAGGUAACAGGAAGAUCAGUCUACCAUAUGGACUGUGUGGACCACCUAGAAUAAUUCCAAAAUGCAAUGAUGGCUAUUGUUGGUGUUGUUUUGCGGAUCCCAAAUACUUUUGCUAUCGCACGCCUGAAGAUUGUGAUAAGGAAUGCCGCAAACAUUCUUCACUAAACACUGUGGCGGCAGCGCCCGCCACCUCCACCCUCCCACCAAACUGAAAUAUUUGUUCACUAAAAAUAAAAAAGAGUAGCGUAUAUCUUGUUCUUUACAGUUGGAGUUACAUGUUGAGACUCUCAUAUUAAUCAGAAAACAAAACUAUAUAGUCAUUAAUCUUAAGGGCGCCGCUGUAACCUAUGUUCAAGAUAUGAAUGAACUACUUCUCAUGAGGAUUAUUAGCAUGUCAA